GAAAUGCGAUAAGUAGUGUGAAUUGCAGAAUUCAGUGAAUCAUCGAAUCUUUGAACGCACAUUGCGCCCCUCGGUAUUCCGUGGGGCAUGCCUGUUCGAGCGUCAUCUACACCCUCAAGCUCUGCUUGGUGUUGGGCGUCUGUCCCGCCUCCGCGCGCGGACUCGCCCCAAAUGCAUUGGCAGCGGUUCCUUGCCCCCCUCUUUGUGCAGCACAUUGCCAUUCGAGGCGGCGGCGGCCCGCGUCCAACAAGCUCAACCCCCCCGUCUUUGACCUCGGAUCAGGUAGGGAUACCCGCUGAACUUAAGC
RNAcentral lists this unclassified non-coding RNA (307 nucleotides) under plant metagenome. RNAcentral's name for it is "partial contains 5.8S ribosomal RNA, internal transcribed spacer 2, and large subunit ribosomal RNA". The stretch from base 1 to 105 matches the Rfam family "5.8S ribosomal RNA", at positions 50 to 154 of the family's 154-position model. The record is from RNAcentral.